This 466-nucleotide ribosomal RNA is filed under the name uncultured bacterium. Its description in RNAcentral is "partial 16S ribosomal RNA". It matches the Rfam family "Bacterial small subunit ribosomal RNA", at positions 28 to 507 of the family's 1533-position model. The record is from RNAcentral.
GAUGAACGCUGGCGGCGUGCUUAACACAUGCAAGUCGAACGAUGAAGCCCAGCUUGCUGGGUGGAUUAGUGGCGAACGGGUGAGUAACACGUGAGUAACCUGCCCUUAACUCUGGGAUAAGCCUGGGAAACUGGGUCUAAUACCGGAUAGGAGCGUCCACCGCAUGGUGGGUGUUGGAAAGAUUUAUCGGUUUUGGAUGGACUCGCGGCCUAUCAGCUUGUUGGUGAGGUAAUGGCUCACCAAGGCGACGACGGGUAGCCGGCCUGAGAGGGUGACCGGCCCCACUGGGACUGCGACACGGCCCAGACUCCUACGGGAGGCAGCAGUGGGGAAUAUUGCACAAUGGGCGCAAGCCUGAUGCAGCGACGCCGCGUGAGGGAUGACGGCCUUCGGGUUGUAAACCUCUUUCAGUAGGGAAGAAGCGAAAGUGACGGUACCUGCAGAAGAAGCACCGGCUAACUACGUG